Suncus etruscus (white-toothed pygmy shrew) is the source of this 296-nucleotide long non-coding RNA. RefSeq lists it as uncharacterized. NCBI's taxonomy places the organism in Eukaryota, Metazoa, Chordata, Mammalia, Eulipotyphla, Soricidae. The record is from RefSeq and is a predicted model, not a curated record. The transcript has 2 exons.
GCUCCAGGUUCAGUGCCAUGGGAGGCGCCCAAUCUCAGGUCCCCAGGGGCCCGAACGCGGCCGUGGGGAGGACCCCUAAACCCAGAGAGGCCGGGUGCGGGGGCACUCCCAGUGGUACUUACGGGACCAUGCAGUGCCAGGAAUGUGGUAGAAUGCUGGAAUGCUGCACUUCAGUUCUUUCUUCUGCCUCCCUGGACUAUAAACCAGGCUCUUGAUGAGGAGAUAAAAUAAGUCCCCGGAUACCCACCACAGAGCAUGUAGGAUAAAAAUGAAUAGAUUAGGAAUGAAGAACAAAA